RNAcentral lists this ribosomal RNA (254 nucleotides) under uncultured bacterium. RNAcentral describes it as "partial 16S ribosomal RNA". It matches the Rfam family "Bacterial small subunit ribosomal RNA", at positions 524 to 777 of the family's 1533-position model. The record is from RNAcentral.
UACAGAGGGGGCAAGCGUUGUUCGGAAUUACUGGGCGUAAAGGGCGCGUAGGCGGCCCGCUAAGUCGAACGUGAAAUCCCCGGGCUCAACCCGGGAACUGCGUCCGAUACUGGUGGGCUCGAAUCCGGGAGAGGGAUGCGGAAUUCCAGGUGUAGCGGUGAAAUGCGUAGAUAUCUGGAGGAACACCGGUGGCGAAGGCGGCAUCCUGGACCGGUAUUGACGCUGAGGCGCGAAAGCCAGGGGAGCAAAGCGGG